UACGUAGGGUGCAAGCGUUGUCCGGAAUUAUUGGGCGUAAAGAGCUCGUAGGCGGUUUGUCGCGUCUGCUGUGAAAACUCAGGGCUUAACCCUGAGCCUGCAGUGGGUACGGGCAGACUAGAGUGUGGUAGGGGAGAUCGGAAUUCCUGGUGUAGCGGUGGAAUGCGCAGAUAUCAGGAGGAACACCGGUGGCGAAGGCGGGUCUCUGGGCCAAAACUGACGCUGAGGAGCGAAAGCGUGGGGAGCGAACAGG
Molecule: ribosomal RNA, 253 nt
Filed under: uncultured bacterium
Lineage: Bacteria
Description: partial 16S ribosomal RNA
Rfam family: Bacterial small subunit ribosomal RNA
Source: RNAcentral